CAUUUGAGCCAAAUGACAUUCUAUUACAAUAAAGAGUGUGUUAAACAGACGAAAUCCCAAGCCGGUGAAGGCACGUAAACGGGGGAGAUACGUCUCUUAGAGUGCACAUUGGGUGUGAAUGGAAUUGGAAGGAGCGUGCACUUGUAAGAACCAGCACAACUCCAAUAAAUUCGUUAAUGAUCCUUCCGCAGGUUCACCUACGGAAACCUUGUUACGACUUUUACUUCCUCUAAAUGACCAAGA
RNAcentral lists this unclassified non-coding RNA (243 nucleotides) under uncultured fungus. RNAcentral describes it as "sequence contains 18S rRNA gene, ITS1, 5.8S rRNA gene, ITS2". Lineage: Eukaryota; Fungi. The record is from RNAcentral.